AUUGAACGCUGGCGGCAGGCUUAACACAUGCAAGUCGAGCGGAGACUUCGGUCUUAGCGGCGAACGGGUGAGUAAUACCUAGGAAUCUGCCUAUUAGUGGGGGAUAACGAAUCGAAAGGUUCGCUAAUACCGCAUACGUCCUACGGGAGAAAGAGGGGGAUCUUCGGACCUCUUGCUAAUAGAUGAGCCUAGGCCGGAUUAGCUAGUUGGUAGGGUAAAGGCCUACCAAGGCGACGAUCUGUAGCUGGUCUGAGAGGAUGGCCAGCCACACUGGAACUGAGACACGGUCCAGACUCCUACGGGAGGCAGCAGUGGGGAAUAUUGGACAAUGGGGGCAACCCUGAUCCAGCCAUGCCGCGUGUGUGAGAAGG
This 371-nucleotide ribosomal RNA is filed under the name uncultured bacterium. Its description in RNAcentral is "bacterial SSU rRNA". It matches the Rfam family "Bacterial small subunit ribosomal RNA", at positions 30 to 413 of the family's 1533-position model. The record is from RNAcentral.